Molecule: ribosomal RNA, 387 nt
Filed under: uncultured bacterium
Lineage: Bacteria
Description: bacterial SSU rRNA
Rfam family: Bacterial small subunit ribosomal RNA
Source: RNAcentral
AUUGAACGCUGGCGGCAUGCUUUAUACAUGCAAGUCGUGCGGCAGCGCGGGGGCAACUCUGGCGGCGAGCGGCGAACGGGUGAGUAAUACAUAGGAACGUAUCCUGAAAUGGGGGAUAGCUCGGCGAAAGCCGGAUUAAUACCGCAUACGCUCCACGGAGGAAAGCAGGGGGAUCGCAAGACCUUGCGUUUCUGGAGCGGCCUAUGUCUGAUUAGCUAGUGGCGGGGUAAUAGCCCACCAAGGCGACGAUCAGUAGCUGGUCUGAGAGGAUGAUCAGCCACACUGGGACUGAGACACGGCCCAGACUCCUACGGGAGGCAGCAGUAGGGAAUUUUGGACAAUGGGGGCAACCCUGAUCCAGCCAUGCCGCGUGAGUGAAGAAGGCCU